GACUGGAUGAGCAGCGAACGGGUGAGUAACGCGUGGGGAAUCUGCCUUUGAGCGGGGGACAACAUUUGGAAACGAAUGCUAAUACCGCAUAAAAACUUUAAACACAAGUUUUAAGUUUGAAAGAUGCAAUUGCAUCACUCAAAGAUGAUCCCGCGUUGUAUUAGCUAGUUGGUGAGGUAAAGGCUCACCAAGGCGAUGAUACAUAGCCGACCUGAGAGGGUGAUCGGCCACAUUGGGACUGAGACACGGCCCAAACUCCUACGGGAGGCAGCAGUAGGGAAUCUUCGGCAAUGGACGAAAGUCUGACCGAGCAACGCCGCGUGAGUGAAGAAGGUUUUCGGAUCGUAAAACUCUGUUGGUAGAGAAGAACGUUGGUGAGAGUGGAAAGCUCAUCAAGUGACGGUAACUACCCAGAAAGGGACGGCUAACUACGUGCCAGCAGCCGCGGUAAUACGUAGGUCCCGAGCGUUGUCCGGAUUUAUUGGGCGUAAAGCGAGCG
Molecule: ribosomal RNA, 499 nt
Filed under: Lactococcus lactis subsp. lactis
Lineage: Bacteria; Bacillati; Bacillota; Bacilli; Lactobacillales; Streptococcaceae
Description: bacterial SSU rRNA
Rfam family: Bacterial small subunit ribosomal RNA
Source: RNAcentral